GAUGAAGAACGUAGCGAAAUGCGAUAAGUAAUGUGAAUUGCAGAAUUCAGUGAAUCAUCGAAUCCUUGAACGCACAUUGCGCCCGCCAGUAUUCUGGCGGGCAUGCCUGUUCGAGCGUCAUUUCAACCAUCAAGCCCCAGGCUUGUGUUGGGGACCUGCGGCUGCCGCAGGCCCUGAAAACCAGUGGCGGGCUCGCUGUCACACCGGGCGUAGUAGAUUUUAUCUCGCUCAGGGCGUGCUGCGGGUUCCGGCCGUUAAAAAGCCUUUUUUACCCAAGGUUGACCUCGUAUCAGGUAGGAAGACCCGCUGAACUUAAGCAUAUCAAUAAGCGGAGGA
RNAcentral lists this unclassified non-coding RNA (336 nucleotides) under soil metagenome. Its description in RNAcentral is "partial contains 5.8S ribosomal RNA, internal transcribed spacer 2, and large subunit ribosomal RNA". The stretch from base 1 to 120 matches the Rfam family "5.8S ribosomal RNA", at positions 35 to 154 of the family's 154-position model. The record is from RNAcentral.